UACGUAGGGCGCAAGCGUUGUCCGGAAUUAUUGGGCGUAAAGAGCUCGUAGGCGGCUUGUCACGUCGGGUGUGAAAGCCCGGGGCUUAACCCCGGGUCUGCAUUCGAUAAGGGCUAGCUAGAGUGUGGUAGGGGAGAUCGGAAUUCCUGUGUAGCGGUGAAAUGCGCAGAUAUCAGGAGGAACACCGGUGGCGAAGGCGGAUCUCUGGGCAACAACUGACGCUGAGGAGCGAAAGCGUGGGGAGCGAACAGG
This 252-nucleotide ribosomal RNA is filed under the name uncultured bacterium. RNAcentral's name for it is "partial 16S ribosomal RNA". It matches the Rfam family "Bacterial small subunit ribosomal RNA", at positions 524 to 776 of the family's 1533-position model. The record is from RNAcentral.